Thunnus maccoyii (southern bluefin tuna) is the source of this 1668-nucleotide long non-coding RNA. RefSeq lists it as uncharacterized. NCBI's taxonomy places the organism in Eukaryota, Metazoa, Chordata, Actinopteri, Scombriformes, Scombridae. The record is from RefSeq and is a predicted model, not a curated record. The transcript has 4 exons.
CAUAAAAUAAGCAAAAAUCAUCACACACUGUUCUGUAGGCUCAUAGUAUCUAUUUGGAGCUCAAUGUAGAUUUAUGCAGCAUAAAUACAGUGUAUUACUGAGAUAUUUGUUUCAAAUUUCUAAAUGUUCAAAUUGAAGAGAUAUAUACGGUAUGUAUGUAUAUAAUUGUUUGAAAUCAAGAACCAUAUUAUCCAAAUAUGGGAAUGUAGGUUUUCAAGAACCUGAAAGUUCAAGUUAUGUGAAAGUUACCAGUAAUGACAUCCUGUGAUGUAGAUGGAGAAUGUUAAAAGGAAAGUCUGCUCAACCUUUUUAUCAAUACAACUACAUGCUUUCUUCUAUUUUUGGUUAAUUUGAUUAAUCCAUUUGGUUCAUUCGUUCAUUGGUUAGUACUUAAUGUAAUUAUUGUUCAAAACAAAUGUAUAAAAGGCCUUUGGCUUGUCAUGACAGCCAUAUUUCUCUGAGCUGAAUUUAAAAUAAAAUGGAUAAUAAAACCUAAUAGUUUAUAUAGUCAUCAGGUAAAAUAUUCUACUUCUUAAACUGGCCUGUUUAUAACUACUGCAGUUUGUGUAGUAACUAUUUUGAAUUGUGUUUACCUUAUUUAGUCUAGCCUUGUAUGAAAUCCUAUGGCCUUUAAUUGGUUACAGCUUCAACGCUGCGUUGUCAGACGCACGCCUGUAGGUGGCAUUGAAUCACUUAUAUUUCUAUAUGUUGACUCCAUCCGCCUAAACGCUGCAGCCGUCGUCAGUUUGUGUCCCUGCAAGGCUCCUCAGCCUCUGCUGUAGGCCCGAGGUUUGGUGUGGUGGACUGGAGCUGUUGGCCUACUUUUGCUUAUGAAAUAAUGUAUUAACAACUGAAACCACAGCUGAGACCAUAGCCCACAGAGUCUUAGCUUUAACAUUUUAAAGACUGUAGAGAGUUUCGCAAAGGCUUCUAAAGGAGCUGCUUCCAGAGGAACAGCAGAGUGGAGUCCAGGAGAUGAAGUUUGGCAAGAAGCAUGUGGAACAGUUUCUACCUGCAUGCAGAGAAGCAAGAAGUAAAAGAAGCAAAGAAAGCAGAAACUCCCGAGUCUCAGCUCCCCUCCCAUUCUGCGAGCGAGGAGAGAUAACGAGAGGGAGCAGACAGCCCAAAACUUCACACAAAGAGGAGAGGAAUCAGCACAACGCACCAUCUCAGCCUUCACUCAGAGAAACUUUCUCUUCAUCUCCGUCUCCUUUCUCCUCCGUCUGUUUUGCGGCAGUCUUCAAAUGCUUGUUCAAACUUGUUCAUAUACGCCUACUGAUCAAGUAGGGGACAGCUGCACUUGUGUAACUCAAACAUUGGAGGGCUCUCUGGAAACAAGUCCAAUUUGAAUGUAGUAUAUAAACAAAACUCAAUUUUGGUGUAGCUCAAGGCGGAAACAGCUGACAGAGACGCUUUAAGUCUGUGACUCAUAACUAUGAGGAGUGUUGGUUCGUAGCUGCUGCUACACAAUGCGUGUUCCUGCGUGUGCACUUGGCUUGCACGCUGUAUUUAGUGUGUAUGUGGGUUUGCCUGCGCUUACUGUACGUGUAUUCAUGCAUGUAUGUUGCGACUCAGUGGGACAGAGGCUCGUCCCCCUCUAGAGCACCAUGCUCUGAUGGAUGUUAAUGUGGACUGACGCAGGGGUGUCCCCCGAGGGAGGGAACACGG